This 61-nucleotide transfer RNA is filed under the name bovine gut metagenome. It matches the Rfam family "tRNA", at positions 6 to 65 of the family's 71-position model. Rfam says of the family: Transfer RNA (tRNA) molecules are approximately 80 nucleotides in length. Their secondary structure includes four short double-helical elements and three loops (D, anti-codon, and T loops). The record is from RNAcentral.
CUUAGCUCAACGGUAGAGCAUUCGGCUGUUAACCGACAGGUUGUAGGUUCGAAUCCUAUAG